CCCGCGAUCCAGCGUAUAUAAACCUUGCACACCUCCAGCAAGGAUCACACUCCCCUAUCAACUUUUUACCCAGUUACAACUACUCAAGUCUCGCUACUCAACAUGAAGCUGACGCUGCUCCUGGUGGCCCUGUGUGCCCUUAUGGGUGUGGUUCUGGCACUGCCCUCACCUUACGCCCUGCCUGACGCGGAUCCUUCACGUCGACAUAGACAUGGAUUUAGCCACCACUACCCUUUCAUCACCCACAUACAUCACGAUGACCACAUCCACCACACCAGACACUUCCCUGGCGGCUACCACGACCACUUCACCACAUACGGUGGUCACCAUCACCACUAGUACCAUCACGCGUCAUGGUGCUGGUGACUGACUGUCAUUGUCAGAGUACCAUGAUGGUCAACUCCACCUGGAUUACGGCUGCAGACUUACAACAACUGGCUCACGGUUCAACAUGGUCAUGUUAAGACACUUUUGUUUAUAUAGUUCACGUGUGGGUGAGUGUGUGGUGGGCGCCGGGCAGCGUGGCGACCUACUCCAGUACUGAGUCUCGGGUCUUCAACACCCAAGUCAACUUUGUGUCCUUCUCUUACCAGCCACUACUGCUGCCACCAUCUUCACCUGUUCCAUCAGGGCUGACCCACCUCACACACCUUUCCACCCUGGUAUAUUGUUUUCUAUCUUGGCUAUAAUAGAUAUUCUUGUUUGUUAUCAUUUAUCUACCAAGUUUGAAGGUACACAGUCACAUGUAUAGUCAUACUAUGAACUGUACUGUGUAGCCACAUGUGUCUAAUGGCAGUAUAUAUGUAUGGUGAGUUAUUGUAAGAGUGACAGUUAAAUAAACACGACCACAACAUCA
This 856-nucleotide long non-coding RNA is filed under the name Homarus americanus (American lobster). RNAcentral describes it as "uncharacterized LOC121853682". The record is from RNAcentral. Lineage: Eukaryota; Metazoa; Arthropoda; Malacostraca; Decapoda; Nephropidae.